AGUCCACUCAGAACUUUCCCCUUGGACCCCCUAGAAAGUCCUGCUGUCCUCCACCUGGCCACCCCUCGGCUCUGGGAGACACAUGUCUUCUCGCCCCCACUGACUGGGAAUGUCAGACUCCUGCAGGCCAGCUGGAUGUUUUCCAGGAGCACCAACCAGGAAAUUCUCCAACAGGGAAGUGGCUAUUAGAACAUUAAAGGAAGUGAUGUUGGCACAUUUUACUGGCGGGAGGAUUCACCACGAGGAAGAAAAGGCCAGAAGGCGACGCCCGGUAAGGAGCAAGGCCCACAAAUCCUCGGGUGAGUCUGAGGGAGGAGGUGGUGGCUGUGGGGUCAGCAGGUGGGCACGUCCAUCACGUGGCUCCCUCUGCUGGGCUUGUGGCCCCAUGUGCAAUAGAGAAAAUAUGGAAGGCUGGGUCACCCAAUCAGAAACAUGAAGCUGGCCAGGCACAGUGGCUCACACCUAUAAUCCCAGCGCUUUGGGAGGCCAAGGAGGUCAGAUCACCUGAGGUCAGGAGUUCGAGACCAGCCUGGCCAACAUGGCGAAACCCCAUCUUUACUAAAAAUACAAAAUUAGCUGGGCGUGGUGGUGCACGCCUGUAAUCCCAGCUAC
Molecule: long non-coding RNA, 612 nt
Filed under: Rhinopithecus bieti (black snub-nosed monkey)
Lineage: Eukaryota; Metazoa; Chordata; Mammalia; Primates; Cercopithecidae
Description: lncRNA (ENSRBIG00000046304.1)
Source: RNAcentral